CCCCACUGCUAUCGGGAUAGGACUAAGACAUGCUAGUCGAGUGAUUCAGGCAAAACGAGUCACGGCGCACAGCUCAGUAACACGUGGCUAAUCUGCCCUUAGGACGAGAACAACCCCGGGAAACUGGGGCUAAUUCGCGAUAGGCGAAGAACUCUGGAAUGAGUCUUUACCUAAAAAGUGCAACGUUAUCCUCGUUGCACCGCCUAAGGAUGAGGCCGCGACCGAUCAGGUUGUUGGCGAGGUAAUGGCUCACCAAGCCUUUUACCGGUGCGGGCCGUGGGAGCGGGAGCCCGGAGAUGGGCACUGAGACAAGGGCCCAGGCCCUACGGGGCGCAGCAGUCGCGAAAACUUUGCAAUAAGCGAAAGCUUGACAGGGCUAUCCCGAGUGCCAUCCGCUGAGGAAGGCUUUUACCCAGUCUAGAACGCUGGGGGAAUAAGGAGAGGGCAAGUCUGGUGUCAGCCGCCGCGGUAAUACCAGCUCUUCGAGUGGUGUGGAUGUUUAUUGGGCCUAAAACAUCCGUAGCUGGCUAGGUAAGUCCCUUGUUAAAUCCACCGAAUUAAUCGUUGGAUUGCGGGGGAUACUGCUUGGCUAGGGGACGAGAGAGGCAGACGGUAUUUUCGGGGUAGGGGUGAAAUCCUAUAAUCCCGGGAAGACCACCAGUGGCGAAGGCUGUCUGCUAGAACGCGCCCGACGGUGAGGGAUGAAAGCUGGGGGAGCGAACCGGAUUAGAUACCCGGGUAGUCCCAGCUGUAAACGAUGCAGACUAGGUGUUUGGACGGCCACGUGCCGUUCUAGUGCCGCAGGGAAGCUGUUAAGUCUGCCGCCUGGGGAGUACGAUCGCAAGAUUGAAACUUAAAGGAAUUGGCGGGGGAGCACCACAAGGGGUGAAGCUUGCGGUUU
Molecule: ribosomal RNA, 901 nt
Filed under: uncultured archaeon
Lineage: Archaea
Description: bacterial SSU rRNA
Rfam family: Archaeal small subunit ribosomal RNA
Source: RNAcentral